This 365-nucleotide ribosomal RNA is filed under the name uncultured bacterium. RNAcentral describes it as "bacterial SSU rRNA". It matches the Rfam family "Bacterial small subunit ribosomal RNA", at positions 282 to 659 of the family's 1533-position model. The record is from RNAcentral.
GGUAGCCGGCCUGAGAGGGUGUCCGGCCACACUGGGACUGAGAUACGGCCCAGACUCCUACGGGAGGCAGCAGUGGGGAAUAUUGCACAAUGGGCGCAAGCCUGAUGCAGCGACGCCGCGUGGGGGAUGACGGCCUUCGGGUUGUAAACCUCUUUCAAUAGGGACGAAGCGCAAGUGACGGUACCUAUAGAAGAAGCACCGGCCAACUACGUGCCAGCAGCCGCGGUAAUACGUAGGGUGCGAGCGUUGUCCGGAAUUACUGGGCGUAAAGAGCUCGUAGGUGGUUUGUCGCGUUGUCCGUGAAAUUUCACAACUCAAUUGUGAGCGUGCGGGCGAUACGGGCAGACUGGAGUACUGCAGGGGAG